Molecule: RNA transcript, 15953 nt
Organism: Mirounga angustirostris (Northern elephant seal)
Lineage: Eukaryota; Metazoa; Chordata; Mammalia; Carnivora; Phocidae
Exons: 6
Source: RefSeq, a predicted model, not a curated record
ACGCCCACUCCAGGCUUUUAUCGCCCUAUCCCCUAGAGCUCAUCUGAGACGUAAGAUGGCGGCGUUCGUACUGAGGGAAAGUAGUGCCGGCGUACCAGCUGUGGAAAGCAGCCAAGGAACAAAUCUGAGGGAAGUACAGAAGCUCGCCAAGUUUUGUUUUGUGAUGAGGACCUCUGGGCAUUGCAAUAUUAACAUUUGUUCUGGAAGCACAUUGUUCUGUUCAGAGGAGUCCUUUAGGCUUGACCUUCUCCAUGCUCUUGCAAAUGAAGUCAGUCCCUGUGGGAAGAAAUUAAGAGCCAUCUGUUUUAAUGUCUGCUGCUUCCCUCAAACAAAAGCUCUGAGCCGAGUCUCUGGAGAAAGAGCACAAGCAGGGGGAGCGGCAGGCAAAGGGAGAAGCAGGCUCCUUGCUGAGCAAGGAGCCCGACGUGGGACUUCCUCCCAAGAUCCUGGGAUCAUGACCUGAGCUGAAGGCAGACGCUUAACCAACUGAGCCACCCAGGUAUCCCAAAGACCAGAAGUUUUUUGAUGAAAUCCAUUUCAUAAAGUUUUUUUCUUAGAUGAGAGACGCAGCGAGAGAGAGAGAACACAAGCAGGGGGAGUGGGAGAGGGAGAAGCAGGCGUCCCGCCGAGCAGGGAGCCCGAUGCAGGGCUUGAUCCCAGGAGCCUGGGAUCAUGACCUGAGCCGAAGGCAGACGCUUAACGACUGAGCCACCCAGGGAGCUGUCCAAUGGUGAGGCUGCUGUGGAAAACAGGAUGGUGGUUCCUCAGAAAUAUAGAGAUUACUUGGUAUUCAUCACAGUAAGUAUGUUCUUGCUCCCCUUUAUCCAUUUUACUCAUCCCCUACCCACCUACCUUCUUGUAAACAGCAGUUCUCUUUGAGUCUCUUUUUUCCUUUGUUCAUUUGUUUGGUUUCUUAAAUUCCACAUAUGAAUGAAAUCAUACAGUAUUUGUCUUAUGUCACUUAGCAUUUUACUCUCUAGGUCUACCUAUGUUGUUGCAGAUGGCAAGAUCUCAUUUUUUUAUGAGUGAAUAGUAUGUAAAAUUGUUGAAUCAUAUUGUACACCUGAAACUAAUAUAACACAGUGAGUUAAUUAUACUUCAAUAAAAUAAAUAACCUAACACAGUGCUUGGUACUAAGAAGUAAAAAAAAAAAAAAACUAAACACAAAAUUUCGAUGACCCAGCAGUUCCACACCAAGUCAUAUCCCUAAGUUAAAGGAAUCCAUUUUUAAAUAAAAUUUUUGUAUGCGAAUGUGUAUAGCCACACUAUUCAUCAUAGUUGAAAGGUGGAAACUACUCCAGUAUUCAUGAGGUGAUGAAAGUGGUAUAUCCACCUUACACUGUUGGUGGGAAUGCAAGCUGGUACAGCCACUCUGGAAAACAGUAUGGAGGUUUCUCAAGUUAAAAAUAGCGCUGCCCUACGACCCAGCAAUUGAAGUACUGGGUAUUUACCCCAAAGAUACAAAUGUAGUGAAAAGAAGGGGCACCUGCACCCCAGUGUUCAUAGCAGCAGUGUCCACAAUAGCCAAACUGUGGAAGGAGCCAAGAUGUCCUUCAACAGAUGAAUGGAUAAAGAAGAUUCGGUGUGUGUAUAUAUAUAUAUAUAUAUAUAUAUAUAUACAAUGGAAUAUUACUCAGCCCUCAGUAUGAAUACCUACCAUUUACAUUGAUGUGGAUGGAACUGGAGGGUAUUAGGCUACGUGAGAUAAGUCAAUCAGAGAAGGACAAUUAUCAUAUGGUUCCACUCAUGUGGAAUAUAAGGAAUAGUGCGGAGCGCCACAGGGAAAGGGAGGGAAAACUGAAUGGGAAGAAAUCAGAGAGGGAGAAAAACCAUGAGAGACCCUUGACUCUGGGAAACAAACUGAGUGUCGCGGAAGGAGAGGUGGGUCGGGGGAUGGGGUAACUGGGUGAUGGGCAUUAAGGAGGGCACGUGUUGUGAUGAGCAUGGGUGUUACAUGCAACUGAUGGGUCGAACGCUACAUCAAAAAUUAAUGAUGUACUAUAUGUUGUUUAAAUAAAGUGGUAUAUCAAAAAAUGCAGUAUUACUCAACUUUAUAGUUGAAUGAAUUAUGGAUACACAGUAUAACAUGGAUAUUCCUAUUAAUCAUUAUGCUAAGUGAAUGAAAACAAACAUAUAAGGGCCUAAUUCAUUUUACAUGAAAUAUGAAAGAGGUAAAUCCAUAGAAGCAAAGCAGAUUAGUGGUUGUCAACAAGUAUGGGUAUGGGGAAUGGAGAAUGACUGCUUAAUAAGUCUUGGGUUUUCUACUGCCUUACUAAAAUAAAGAGUUGACCAUGGUGAUGGUUGCACAAGGUUGUGAAUGUACUAAAAGCCACUGAAUUGUACUAUUUAAAAUUGAUAAAAUGGUUACAGCAUACGGAAUAUAGUCAAUAGUAUUGUAAUAGCAUUGUAUGGUGACAGGUGGUAGCUACACUUGCAGUGAUCAUAACAUAAUGUAUAGCAUUGAAUCACUUUGUUCUACACCUGAAACCAAUGUAACAUUGUGUGUCAACUAAAAAAUUUUAAGUAAAAAAUUUUUUAAUAAAAUGGUGAAUGUUGUGUAUGUGGGUGUUAACCUCAUUAAAAAAUUAAAGGAAUUAGUUACCUAAAAAAUAAAAUAGGUGGAGAGCCAGAUUUGGCUUGCAUGGUGUAGUUUACUAAUCCUUGGUCUGGAUCUGUUUAAGGUAAUUUGCAAUAUAUUUAUUACAACUAAUUAAAAUUUUAUGAGAUUAUCUAAAGACUAUAAUAGGUAUAUCUAACUUUUUGCAAAAUGCUGAUUUUUCUGAAUUUCUAAACAACUCUUGGGAUCAAUAUGAAAUUGGCAGUUGAUUCCAUAUGAGUUUGCUGAAGACUUGAGCAUUUUCCACAUAAAACACAGCUGUAGGGCCUCAUUUGGCAACAGAAAUAACAAAAACUCUAAGCAGUACUAAUACCCUCUAGAAAGGCUAAAAUGAAAUGGAUUGAGGAUGCCAAAUAUUGGUGAGUAUUUUGCUAACAAAUAUCUUUCAUAGAGUAAUGGUGGGAGUAUGAUUGGUGAAAGUCAUGUUAGAAGAUCUUUUAAUGAUAUGUUUGUAAAGCUGAACAUGCACAUAUCCUGUGAUUCCAAAAUUUAACUUAUAUGUAUAUGACCACAAAGAUAUGUAUAUGUUCACCUAAAGACGUGUUAAUGUCUAUAUCAUCACUAUUCAUAAUAGCUCUAAAUUGGAAAACAUGCAAAUGUCUGUCAACAGAAUAGAUAUAUUAAUUUUUGUGGUGUUUUCUUUUAGUGGAUUAUGGCAAUGAAAAAUAAUGAACUGUAACUAUACAUUAUGCAUGUAUCUCACAUUCUUUUCAGCAAAGAAGCCAAAUGUAUUAACAAAAUUCAGGAUAGUGGUUCCUCUGGUUAAAAAUUAAAGUAGAAUACAUGCCACUUCAGUGAUACUAGAAAUAUUUUCUUCAUUAAGCUUGUCAAAUUAGUCUUUAAAUAUACAUAUAAUUUAUACUGUCUUCCGUGUAUAAGAUUUCUGUAAUUUUAAAACUACAUUAAAAUGCCAAUUACUGAGGAUCCUCCCCAGAGUGUACUAUAUAUUCUCCAAUCAUUUCCAAAAGUGGAAUUAUUAUUUCUUUUUUGAUGAACCCCUAUGGGGCACUUAAAGUAUAUUAGGGUUACCAUUUUCCUUAUUUUUUUUUUGAUUUAGUUGGUUGCACUAUCUGAUAGGCAAAAGCUCUUUAACCAUUUACUUAUCUGCUAUUGUUUUCUCCUAAAUCAUUGUUUCAAGUGUUCAUCCAUACAUGAACACUAAUGAUUUAAAUGUGAAUCAAAUGUGGUAAUGUGACAGAUGUUCUCUGUUUUGUAUGAAUGUGAAAGUGUACAAUAGAUAUUGAGUGUGGGCACUAGUAUUAGUACAAGAAAAUUGAAAAAUAGUACAGAUUGUAAAAGUAACGUAAAUUACAGUGAGUCUUGCAAACCACUUACCAGUCAUCACUCAUUACCAUGCAAGAAGAAAAGCGUUAGCAUAGCAUUAUAUGUGGUCCAUAUUCACUUCAUUUGAUAUAUGUGCAGUCUUUUCUAUCUAUUGCUUAUAUAAUUAUUAAAAAUUCCAUAGUAUCUGGAUUGCUUAGGUUAUUUUCUUCCCACUGUGGUGAGAUUUUUAAAGUAAUCUAGAAGUUUGGUUAGAUCUACCGUCUUUGUUAAUAAGGGAAGAAAUUUAUUAGCAAGUGCAAGUUAAUUUUAAGGAAUAGGAAAAAUUGUAAAAUUUGACCAUAUGAUGGAAUUCAAUAAUUAGGAAAAGGAAGCAUUGUAGGGUAUGCUGCAAUAAGUAAGUACUGUGAUACAUAAAUGCUGUUGGACAACAGUAGCUUUAAGAGUGAAAUAUGAAAGAUUUAAAAAGUUGGGGAAAAACAAGCUCUGUCCUUAUUGAGACACCUUAGUGCACCUCUUGAUCUUGGGAUUGUUAAUUUGAGCCCCAAGUUGGGCAUAGAACUUACAUCAAAAUAAACAAAAGUAAUGUAGUCCUUUAAAAAAAAAAAAAGGAAGGAAGGAAGAAAAAGUUCAAAAGACAAGUUUGCUUUACCAAAGAAGGAAUUCAUAUCUAGUUUGGGAAUCUAAAACACCUAUCUAAUGCCCCCCCUUAAACUUAAAAUGCCAAUUUGAUUAAUUCCUCAGAUAAAGAUAAUAGCUUUGAAAGAAUAAAGUAUCAAAGAAUUGACAGUAAGAGUAAAAACAUGUGAAAUUAAGGUGUUUCCAUUUUUUAAAUGACAGUGUAAGGAUUUUGUGAAUCUACUCUCCAGGGAAACAAAUGUAACUGGUGAGAUGAGCAAAAUUUACAACAGUUUAACACCUCUUGAAAUUCUAAUGGCAUACAGCAAAUGAAAAAAUUUUGAGAAUUGUACUAAAACGGAAUAAAAAGACUCUAUGGCGUUUGAACCACCACUCAGUUCUCCCAUCUCAAUUCAGCAAGACAGUGACCACUCCAAGCAUUUGCAGUGAGGAAUACAGGGAUCCCUCUCUUUUAGCUAAUAGUUGAGGUCUAUUGUCCAGAAUGGAGUGAUGCUAAAAUUCCAUAUCCCCACAGCUCAGUUUUGUAGAUCCUCACUUCCAGUCAAUUGUAGCUGAUAGGAAGAGGACUUCUGUUCUCCCAACCCAGACACAUAGAGCAGAAGCUCUUCCUCAGGCCUGAUACGCUCAGAAUACUCUUAUCUUCAUUCCAGGUUGUUUGGACCAUUGAUAUACCAUACCAGGUGAGGCAAGUUGAGAACAGCUAAUCCCUAUAAAUUUGGGCUGUUACUUUGAGCCAAGGUAGUCACUGCCCCCCCCCCCCCCGCCCUGCUACACACAGCUCAGUGCAUCUGGAUGAUAAAUGUUGCUGAGUAGAACGGGCAGAACACGAGAACAGAGUUCUGAAGCCCUCCCUGAUGAAAUUUUAUUUAAAAGAGCAGGGGGACGUUCAAGCCUAUGGGCAGUCUUAAAAAAUGAUAAUUCGGUGUUAAGUACUUAGCUGGUAGUUUAAUGAGAGCAACUUGCUAAACUGUAGGCUGAUUUGCCACAGAGAACCAGGUAAAGAGUUAAGAAUAGCAUUCCUGUAGUCAGAACAAAGACUGGCAUCAUAAACUGCCCCUGCAAAUGGACCGAGUUUAAUUGGAUUAGAAUAUACAGUAAGAUAUGCCCCCAGAGCAUUGUUAUAAGUGAUAGGAAAAUUAACUUACAGUUAAUGUAGGCUAGCAGCUCAGUAUGUUCAAGAAUAGAAAUUGUGCACUGCCAUCCUAGGGUAACGACAUUUCUGGGGCUGUGCCCUCUGAGGAGCAGUAUCAUAGGCUCCCAUCAUAUCAUGGGAGAAAGAGACUUCACUAAAAGUCCAGUCAAUCACUUAACAUAUUAAAAAUGUGAACAGUAACUACCAGCCCUGGAUUCAUCUUGUGGUUAACUAGCCAGUAUUGCUACUAUAUAUCAUUUAUAAUGCCUACUUUUGAGCUGAAAAAUCUCCAGACCUGCAAAGAAAGAAGAAAAUGUCACCAUAAAGCAAAAGAGGUUGGUAGCAGAACCCACAUUUAAAGGCCUACAUAUCAGAUUUAGCAGAUAAAUAUUUUAAAUCAGCUAUGUUCAAAGAACUAGAGGAAACCAUGCUUUAAAAGGUACAGGUAUGAAGAUAGUGUUUCAUCAAAUAGUAUCAAUAAGUAGGAAUUGUAGGGGCGCCUGGGUGGCUCAGUCAUUAAGCGUCUGCCUUUGGCUCAGGUCGUGAUCCCAGGGUCCUGGGAUCAAGCCCCGCAUCAGGCUCCCUGCUCCGCGGGAAGCCUCCUUCUCCCUCUCCCACUCCCCCCUGCUUAUGUUCCCUCUCUCGCUGUGUCUCUCUCUGUCAAAUAAAAUCUCUAAAAAAAAAUAAUAGGAAUUGUAGAAAGAGCUGUAGGGACAAUCUGGAGUUGAAAAGUAUAGACAAAUAGAAAAGAAAAAUCACUAGAGUGUUUCAACAGUAAUAUGAAUUGUCAGAAUAAACAAUCAGUGGGCUUGAACACAGAUUGACAGACAUUAUACAAUUUAAAGAAUACAGGAAAAAGGAAGAAAGCAGUUUCAUAGAAAUGUGGGAUGCCAUUGUGCAUACCAACAUGUAUGUUAUGCCAGUGUUAGAAAUAGAGGGGGAAACAUGGAAAAUGACAUUUGUAGAAGUGAUACCUGAAAACUACAAUGUUUUAUGAAAAAUAUUAGCCUAAACAUCCAAAGGAAAUAAUAUUUUGAGACAAAUGAAAAAACAUGCCAAGGGAAAUGAUUAUAACGAUAAAUUCCUACAUUAAUACAAAGAUCUCAACUUAAUUCUAUACCUUAAGAAAUUAGACAAAGAACAAACUAAGACUGAGUUCAAAGAAGGAAGGACAUAAUAAAGAGCAGAUAUAAAUAGAGACUGCAAAGAUAAAUCAAUGAAACUAAGAGCUUUUUUUAAAAGAAAAAAUUGGCAAACUAGAUACUCUAACCAAGAAGAAAAGGAGAGGAGAGGACUCAAUAAAGAGACAUUACAACUGAUACCACAGAAGUACAAGGAUCAUAAGUGGCUACUAUGAACAAUUAUAUGCAAACAAAUUGUAUAACCUAGGAAAAAUGUAUAAAUUACUUCUGGCUUUGGUCUGAGGGCAUCACUAGUACAGAACUGUAAAUGAGCAUAGACAGAAAAUCUUAGAGAACCCUUAUCUUUCUGGCCAGCUGACUGGCUAUUGGGUACUUGUAAGCUGAAGUAUAUAGGAAAUAUUUUUAUUCAUAUUUAUUCUCCAUCCCCAUCUCUCUCCCUUCCUUCUGGCCUCCUUCCUCCUGGAUUUUCCCUAAAGACAGCUACAGUUCUGGAACUGCAUGAUGGUGAUGCCAGAGGCACUGAAGUCUGCAGGAGGAAAAGCCAUCUUUAUUAGAGCAAUGUGCAAAAGGGGACCCUUGUGAAUAGAAGAGUGCAUAGAAUUCUGUUAAGUCUCUAUUUUUUGCUUUUCCCAAGGGUGACUCCAUUUGUGCAGAUCUCCAUGGCAACAAAUGUGGCUUAAUAUCCAGAGAAGGCAUGCAUCUAGUCUACUUUGGAGUGAGAAAAAGAAACCUUUGGAGCUGGAGAAUAGGGUAAUUUUAGAGAUGAGAGAGCUGAAGAAGGGGAUCUCCUUAUUUCGUAUAUGAACUGAAGCAGUUUCUUGAGCUCAUCUUCAAUGUGAACAUGUAUGAGAUAGUCCAAAAUAAAACAUAGAAAUAGCUUUUGGAAUUUAUAAUAUGAAGCCCCACCCAUGUUACAGACUGAACUCAGAGAUCAUAUGUGAGGUAGACCCAAAUCAUCAUGGUAAAGACUGAAAAUUAGAUAUUGGAAGCACUUCUCAUAAAAGGGGAGAUCGAAGUUGUGGUCUGAACCUAACUGAAUUGAUUGCCUUUUUAAAAGGGCAUUCACACAUACAUUGUCCAGGAGAUUUUUAAAGAGAUCAGAUUCUUACAACAAUGUGCAAAAUGCCCAACAAUCCAAAAAUACAAAGAACCAGGGGAAAUAUGUGACAAUGAAUAGAUGCCAGACACAGGAUAUUAGAGAUUUUGGUAUUAUCAUAGUGAUUUUAUUUAUUUUUAUUUUUAAAGAUUUUAUUUAUUUGACAGAGACAGCGAGAGAGGGAACACAAGCAGGGGGAGAGGGAGAGGGAGAAGCAGGCCCCCAGCUGAGCAGGGAGCCCGACGCAGGGCUCGAUCCCAGUACUCUGGGAUCAUGACCUGAGCCGAAGGCAGACGCUUAACAAGUGAGCCACCCAGGCACCCCAUCAUAGAGAUUUUAAAGCAACCGUUAUUACUAUAUUCCAUGAUAGGUCAGUACUUUAAAGAUGAAUUAAAAAAUAGAAGUUCUCAGAAAAUAAAACUUCAAAGAACCAGGUGGAAUUUACUAAACUGAAAAACAAAAUGUCUAAAAUUUGUUGUAAAAAAUGAAUGAGUUCAAUAGCAGAUUUAAGGUGACAGAUGAUCAGUGAACCUGAAAAUUAGAAACUAUAAAAUUUGAAAAACAUUUUGAAAAAAAAAUAGGGCUUCAAGAAUCUAUGUGACAAUUUCAAAAGGUUCAAUAUUUGUGUGGUUGGAGUCCCAAAAAGAUAGAGAUUGGCAUAGAAAAAAAUAUUUGAGGAAAGAAUUUCUAAAAUUCAAUGGAAGACAAAUGUACAUGUUCAAGAAGAUUUGUGACCUUGAAGAGAAUACACCUAAAUGUAUACCAAUACACAAUGUAAUCAAACUGAUGAAAGUGAAUGAUGAAAAAAUCUUGAAAGUUCCUACCAAAACUCACUGUAUUACAUAUAGGAUAACUAAUUUUGAAUGAUUGUAUUUCUUGUCAGAUACUAUAUACAGUCCAGAAGACAGGACAUCUUUAAGGUGCUGAAGGUAAAGAAUAAAUCCAGAAUUCCAUAACAAGCAAAAAUAUCCUUUAAAAUGAAUUCAAGAUAAAGUUACCCUCAGAUGAAGGAAAAACUAGAAAUUUUUUCCAUCAUGGAAAUGCUCUAAAAGAAAUGAUAGGGGCGCCUGGGUGGCUCAGUCGGUUAAGCAUUGGCCUUGGCUCAGGUCAUGAUCUCAGGGUCCUGGGAUUGAGUCCCACAUCAGGCUCCCUGCUCAGUGGAGAGUCUGCUUCUCCCUCUGACCCUCCCUCCCCCACUUUGUGCUCGCUUGCUCUCUCACAAAAAAUAAAAUCUUAAAAAAAAUGAUAAAUAUUCUUCAGAUAAUGAUACCACAGAGAGGGGCGCCUGGGUGGCUCAGUCGUUAAGCGUCUGCCUUCGGCUCAGGUCAUGAUCCUGGGGUCCUGGGAUCGAGCCCCACAACGGGCUCCCUGCUCGGCGGGAAGCCUGCUUCUCCCUCUCCCACUCCCCCUGCUUGUGUUCCCUCUCUUGCGGUGUCUUUCUCUGUCCUAUAAAUAAAUAAAAUCUAAAAAAAAAAAAAAAAAAGAUACCACAGAGAAACUUGGUACUUCAGGGAUAAAGUUUGAGCAACAGUAGUAGUAAAUAUCUGGACAAAUAGGAUAACCUUUUCUACUAAUUCCUUUUAUGUGUGCAUGACUCUUGGAAACAAAAUUACAAUGUCUGAGGGGGGAUUUCAAUAUAUUUAUAUGUAAAAUAUGUGAAAAUUAUCACAUAGGUGUUUUGAGGUAACUUUAGCAGAGAGCAGGUUUUUUAGUUUAGUUUUGUUUUUUAAAGUUUCCAAAUAAUAAUGUUUCUUUCUGGGACAGAGGUUGGAAUGUCUAAGACCUCUUAAAACAUACAGAUUACCCAUUUUGGGAGAAGAGUCCAACAAGCCUUGUUUGUCAGAUGACAUUAGUGUUUUUAAGAAUGCAGAAAACCUGGCCCUAGGGUUAUCUCAUCUUAAAAAUGUUGCAGCUAUCCCUCUCUGGGAAACUUUAUUUCCUGCUCCCCCACCUGAAACAAAGCUUCAAGGAAAGCUGACCCAAUGGGGUGCUUAAGUCACUAAGAUUCCUUCAUCUAGUCCCUGUAAGGCAGUCAGGUCAGUUUCAACUCAUUGGCCAGAAUUGUUUUGGACUAUAGAACUGGCCUAGGGUCCCAACUUGCGGGCAAAGGCAGAAGCCUCUGCAAUCACUAAUACAUCCUGUGGUACCUGGAUUAAUCCUUUGGGCCUAUUGGAAAAGUCAGUAUAUGGAGAAGCCAAAAUAUUCAGGUUUCCUAAACUUGGGAUUCCUCACCUGAUGCAAAACUAUUACCUGUGCAUAAUCUACCUAGACCACUUCUCAUUGCCCUCUUGGAAUGUGUUGGGAGGCUUGAAGAACCAAUGUAGACUCCUCUUGAAAUCAAUGUGAAGAUGCUCAUACUUCUUACUGUGUCAUGAGUCAUAAAAUCUUUUGUCACUGAUGCACGAUUCUUAGCUCUUCUGCCAGAAUUCAUAAAACUGUGACAAGCUUACUUUUAGCUUGCAUGUAUGACAAAAUCACAAGUUAACAGCUUAUGACACAGUAAUGGGACAUAUGUGGUUCUAAGAUUUGUAGGUUUUAUUUUAAGUAGUAAUAUAUUAAUGUUUAGUACACAGAAUAUCAGGUAUGUGUAUUGUAAUCCUUAGAGAAACCUCUCAAAAAUAUGAAGACAUACUAAAAAAUUUACUAAAGUAGAAUACUACAAGAUAUUCAAAUAAUCCAAAGGAAUAGAAGAAAGAAUAAAAAUGGAGUUUUAGAAAGUGGAGAGAUAAAUAAUAAAAGAAUGGACAUAUAGCAACCAAAUCCAUUUAUUCUACAUGGUCUAGAACUUUUGGCUCGAGAUUAGUGGAAUAAAUGCAUUAUCAUAUUUGCCAAAAAAAAAAACACCCCUGGACAUUAUAUAUAAAAGACAUAUAGGAAGACUGAAAAAUAAAUGAAUGGAGGGGUGCCAGCCAGAUAGAGCCAGUAGAGCACGCAACUCAUAAUCUCAGGGUCAUGAGUUCAAGCCCCACAUUGGGUGUGGAGCCUACUUACAACAAAUAUAAAUAAAUAAAUAAAUAGGAAGAAGAAGAAAUGAGUGGACAUCAGCAAGAGACAAAUGGGACCCAAGGGAUAACUAGGUGUUGAGUUUCCAAAUUGUUUUUUUUUUUUUUUCUUUUUCCUAAUAUAUCUCAGGUUAAGUGCUGGAGAAUUUGGCAAAUAGGUCUCCAGGCAGAGACCAAAAAUCAAAACAGAACAAAGCCCUAGGGAAAGGGUUCUCUUUAGACAGUGACAACCCAUCAAAUAAGAACUUUUAGAUAAUAUUGCCCUACUCCAUUUAAACUUCAGGAUAAAAAUCACUCAAUCCACACCCCCAUCAGCAAAGGCUGAGUGGAGAUCAUAGACUUUAGCACUGCCAAGCUAUAAUGAGCCUCUCAUCGCCCCCUCAACCAGUGUCAGGAUGGUAUCAAAGAAAAUCCACUGCACAGCAAAGUCUACUUCACAGUGUUAACAUUAAUCCCAUCACAGCAUAAGUAGAGGCCUUGCGGACAUCUUGGAUUUAUAUUCACAUCCAGCAAAAUGAAGAGCCUUUCCCUCUCCCUUUUGGUUUUCAGAUGAAACCAUGUGGCAAGCUGGUACUUUGACCAUCCAGCUCUCAUUAAGAUCCAUCCAUCUUGGUACCUGGGGAGGACAUAUGGUGAGGAGCAUUAAUAAAAUAUGCUGUUCUCUCAUACCUACAUAUGACCAGCAGCAAUGAGCCUUUCCUCACUCUUAGAGUUUAAAGAAUGCCAAGGGGAGAACCUGUACUUUCACGCCUACCUGGUACUUAGAUGGCAGAAACUCCCUCCCUUACCAGAGUUGUCUCAAAGGAGGUCUGUAAAAAGAGAAGAUUCAAAUUAAUUGCAGAGUCUCACAUACCCAGAAUGUCUAGUAGAGGAUUAAAAAAUCACCCAUUAUUAUCACAAACCAGGAUGACACAGAUGUUGGAAUUACCUGAUGAGAAUUUUAAAGCAGUCCUUAUGGGAAUGAUUUAACAAGCAAUUACAAGCACUUGAAACAAAAUAACCAGAAAGUCUCAGGAAAGAGGAUAUGUAAAGUGUUUAAUUUCACAACUGAAAAAUAUAAUAGGUAACUAAAUGGAAUGGAGAUGGCAGAGAAGACUUAUUAGUGAACUUAAAGGAAUUGAAAUUAUUCAGACUGAGCAACAGAGAGCAAACAGACUAAAAAAAAAAAAAAUGGAGAAAGCCUCAAUGGUGUUAGAGACCAUAAAAAAAAGUCCACAUUGUUGUCAUUGGGGUUGUACAAGGGGGGAAGAAAGCGGUAAAUCCCGUUUGACAAAAUAAUGACCAAAGAUUCCUCCAAUGUUUGAAAAUACAUAAACCAAUGGAUUCACAAAGUUUACUGAACCCUAAACCUUAGAAUCCUAAAGAAAUCUGUCUGAGGCACAUUAAUAAUCAAAGCUUUGAAAACAAAAGAUAAUUGUGAAAGUGGCCAGAGGGGGUCAAAUGCAUUACUUGUAGGAAAAAAAUGCAAAUGACAGAUUUGUCAUCAGAAACUGUGGAGGCCAGAAAGAGGUUGCAUUACAAAACAACUAAGAAUAUAUAACAGUUUUUAAUUUUAUGCAUCAAACAACAGAGCUCCAGAAUAGAGAAAGCAAUAACAGAUACAGAAAUAAUAAAAUUAACAAAUAAAAUUGAUAAGUACAUUUCUCAACAAUAAUUAGAAAAUAGAGACCUGAUCAAAACUAUGAACUACCUUGAUUUAAUUGACGUGUGUAGAACAGUCCAUUCAGUAAUACCAAAGUACUUUCUUUUCAAAUGCACAUAGGCCAUGUAGAAAAUCAUAUUUUGGGUCGCAAAACCUCAACAUGUUGAAAAGAAUUUUAAUCAUAUAUAGUGUUUUUACCACAACACUAUCAAAGUAGAAAUACAUAACUGAAAGGUAACGGGAAAUUAUUUUUAAAAAGAUUUAUUUGAGAGAGGGAGUGCAUGCAUGCAAGAGUUGGGGGGAGGGGCAGAGGUAGAGGGAGAGAGAAUCCACAAGCAGACUCCCUGCUGAGCGCAGACUUUGACAUGGGGUUCUAUCCCAGGACCCUGAGAUCAUGACCUGAGCUGAAACCAAGAGUUGGCCACUUAACCGAAUGAGCCAUCCACAUGCCCAGAUAACAAGAAAAAUUUUAAACACCUGGAGACUAACCAACAUACUUUUAAACAAGCGAUUAGUCAAAGAUGAUGUCUUAACAGUAAUAAAAACAUGAAAAUUAAUUACAUUUAAAAUAUAAAGACACAGCCCAAUCAGUGCUGAAAUUUAUAUCAGUGAAUACUUAUAAAACACAAAAACUUCAAAUCAGUAAACAAAACACCUUAAGGAACUGGGAAAGAACUCGCAAAUUAAGUCCAAAGCAAGAAGAAUGAAGAAAAUGAAAAUAAGAUCAGAAAAUCAAUAAAAUUAAAUGAAUUAAAUGAAACAAUGGAAAAAAUUAAAGCUGUUUCAUUGAAAAGAUUGAAAUUCACAAACCUACUAAGAUUGGCAAAAAAGUGAAGCCACAAAUCCUUAAUAACACAAGUGAAAUGAGAUAGCAAUAAAUCAUAAAGACCUUAAAGGGAUAAUAAGGGGAAACUGCGUAAUUGUCAUCUUUGGAUUAGACAUGUUAAAUAAAAUGGACCUAUCCCUCAAAUGACCCAAACUAUCAUAACUUACAAAAGAAAAUGAAUACCCGAUACCAACUUAGUAAAUUACAUUUAAAUACUCCUGGGAAAAUAAUCUCUAGGCCCACUUUGUUUUACUGGAAAAUUGAACCAAAUAUUUAAAGAAUUAUCACCGGGUGCCUGGGUGGCACAGUUGGUUAAGCAACUGCCUUCGGCUCAGGUCAUGAUCCUGGAGUCCCUGGAUCGAGUCCCGCAUCGGGCUCCCUGCUCGGCAGGGAGUCUGCUUCUCCCUCUGACCCUCCCCCCUCUCAUGUGCUCUCUCUCAUUCUCUCUCUCUCAAAAAAAAAAAAAAAUUAUCACCAAUUUGUAUGUGAUGUCUUCCAGAAAACAGGAAAAACACUUCUUAACUCAUUUUGUAAGGCUAGUGUUAUUAUUAUACAAAAGGCAAAGGCAGUAAAAAUACAAUUAAACUACAGAUUAGUAUCACCUAAAUAUAGUUGUGAAAUUCCUUAAGAAAUAGGCGAUUUCAAAAAGCCUUUAUGUAUUAAAUUAAAUCAAUAAAUAACAUUCCCAAAAGAAAACCAGAAGGUCUAGAUGGAUUCACUGGGGAAUUCUAUCAGCCGUUUAAGGGAGAAGUUAUACCUCAACUUUACAAUCUCUUUCCGAAAAUAGAAACUGUAAAAAUACUUCCUAACUCAUACAAUGAAAUCAUCAUUACUAUAUAUUAAAACCAGACAAAGACACUAUAAGGAAACUACAAACCUAUAUCUCUCAUGAAUACAGAUGCAAAAAUUCCCAACAAUAUUAGCAUAUCAAAUUCAACAAUGUAUAAAAAUUUUAUGCCACAACCAUGAGAUUUAUCCUAUGUGUGUGACUUCAACAUUCAAAAAUCAGUUUUUGUAAUCCAUCACAAGCUAAAAAAAGAAAAAUAAUAUAUGAUCAUAUCAAUAAAUGUAGAAAAAUCAUUUCACAAAAUCUAAAACCCAUUCAUGAUAAAAAAUAAUCCCAGUAAAUUAAAAAUAGAGCAUAACAUCCUCAACUUGAUCAAGAACUUAUACAAAAAACCUACAGGCAAUAUUAUAUUUAAUGAUGGUAUAUGCCAAUUUUCUGCUAAGAGCAGAAACAAGGCAAGGAUAUUUCAUCUCAUCACUUUUUAAAAAUAUGCUGAGAGUCCAACAAUAGUACAAGAAAAGGAAAUAAUAGUUAUACAGUUUGAUUAGGAGGCAUUUAUCUUUGUCAGAGAUGACAUGAUUAUGUAGAAAUUCCAAAGUAUCAACAAAAAAUUUCUAGAACUAAUAAGUGAUUAUAGCAAGGUUGUAUGAUACAAAGUUAAUAUUUUUUUUAAAGAUUUUAUUUAUUUGAGAGAGAGAGAGGGAGAGUGAGAGGGAGAAGCAGGCUCCCCACUGAGCAGCGAGCCCGAUGUGGGACUUGAUCCCAGGACCCUGAGAUCAUGAGCUGAAGGCAGAUGCUUAACCAACUGAGCCACCCAGGUGCCCCCAAAGUUAAUAUUUAAAAGUUAAAUGCUUUCCUAUAUAUCAGCAAUCAGCAAGUGGAAUUUGAAGUUAAAAGCAAUACCAUUUAUAUUAGCGCGCGCGCGCACACACACACACACACUGAAAUGAAAUAAUUAGGUCUAUAAGAAAAUAUGUUACAAACCACUGAUGAAUGAAAUAAAAGAAUUAAAUAAGUAAAUAUUUGAUGUUCAUGGAUAGGAAGACUUAAUAUUGCCAAAUUGUCAGUUCUUCCCAACUUGGUCUAUGGAUUCAAUGCAAUCCAAGUAAAAAUCUCAGCAGUUAUUUUGUGGAUUUUGACAAACUAAUUCCAAAUUUAUAUGGAAAAGCAAAAGACAAAAUUACCAACACAAACACUGAAGGAAAAGAGCAAAGUCAGAACUGGAGAUACUCAUCUUCAACACCUACUACAAAGCUACAGCAAUUAAGACAGUGUGGUUUGGGCAAAAGAAUAGACAAAUCAGUGGAAUAGCAUAGAGAGUCCAGUGUAGUCAACUGAUCUUUGACAAAGGAGCAAAGGCAAUACAAUGGAGCAAAGAUAGUAUUUUCAACAAGUGUUGCUGGAACAGUUGGGACUUACACGUGAAAAAAAUGAAUCCAGACACAGACCUUACACCCUAUACAAAAACUAAAAAUUGAUCAUAGACCUAAAUGUAAAAUGCAAAAUUUUAAGACUCCUAGAAGGUAAAAUAGGAGAAAACCUAGAUGAUCUUGGAUAUGGCAAUGACUUUUUUUGGUAAAAUACCAAAGGCACAAUCGAUGAAAGAGAUCAUUGAAAAGCUAGAUUUCAUUAGCAUUAAAAACAUGUGUUCUGCAAAAGACAAUGCCAAGAGAGUAGGAAAACAAGCCAGAAACUGGUAGAAAAAAUAUUUGCAAGACACUGAUAAAAGACGAAAACAUUUGCAAGCACUGACAUCUGAGAAAAGACUAUUAGCCAAAAUAUACAAAGA